CCUCUGAUGAGAGUAGUGACGCGAAUAUCUGUUAGGAGUCACAUUUGACUAAGUACUAUCGUGACUAUAAAAUAUCUAAUAGGACCAUUAUGGUCGGUAUGGCUAUGGUCAUAGAUCGUACCAUAGUUUGACAAGCUAGAAAUGUGCCUGAGCAAAUUAUUGUACUCUUUGUCUGAUCUGGUCACUCCACAUGGGUAGUUAAAAAUCUAUAUCUACCUUCAUAGAUGAAAGUUGUAAUGACUUCACGAAGCAUAACAUGAAAAUCUGAGCAUGUCAUGAU
RNAcentral lists this long non-coding RNA (280 nucleotides) under Carica papaya (papaya). RNAcentral's name for it is "long non-coding RNA (CPAP_LNC013721)". The record is from RNAcentral. Lineage: Eukaryota; Viridiplantae; Streptophyta; Magnoliopsida; Brassicales; Caricaceae.